AGAGUUUGAUCCUGGCUCAGGACGAACGCUGGCGGCGUGCCUAAGACAUGCAAGUCGAGCGGGGUUUCGGGGCUUCGGCCCUGAAGCCUAGCGGCGGACGGGUGAGUAACACGUGGAUAACCUGCCCUCUGCUCUGGGAUAACAGGCCGAAAGACCUGCUAAUACCGGAUAAGCUCACGGACCCGCAUGGGUUUGGGAGAAAAGGCGCUGGAGUCAGUGGCGCUGGCAGAGGAGGGGUCCGCGGCCCAUUAGCUGGUUGGCGGGGUAACGGCCCACCAAGGCGACGAUGGGUAGCCGGCCUGAGAGGGCGACCGGCCACACUGGGACUGAGACACGGCCCAGACUCCUACGGGAGGCAGCAGUCGGGAAUUUUGCACAAUGGCCGAAAGGCUGAUGCAGCAACGCCGCGUGAGCGAAGAAGGCCUUCGGGUUGUAAAGCUCUGUUGCCUGCGAAGAAGGGCCCUGUCAGGAAAUGGGCGGGGUUUGACGGUAGCAGGCGAGGAAGCCCCGGCAAACUACGUGCCAGCAGCCGCGGUAAUACGUAGGGGGCGAGCGUUGUCCGGAAUUACUGGGCGUAAAGGGCGUGUAGGCGGCCUGUUAAGUCAGGGGUGAAAGACCGGGGCUCAACCCCGGGGGUGCCUCUGAAACUGGCGGGCUUGAGUGCUCUAGAGGGCAGUGGAAUUCCCGGUGUAGCAGUGAAAUGCGUAGAGAUCGGGAGGAACACCAGUGGCGAAGGCGGCUGCCUGGGGAGUCACUGACGCUGAGGCGCGAAAGCUAGGGGAGCAAACAGGAUUAGAUAC
Molecule: ribosomal RNA, 800 nt
Filed under: uncultured bacterium
Lineage: Bacteria
Description: bacterial SSU rRNA
Rfam family: Bacterial small subunit ribosomal RNA
Source: RNAcentral